AUGCCCACAGCCCCCCAUCAGAAUCACGUUUCAUUCUCAAGAGUCACUCCUCCUUCUGUCUUCACAAGUGCAUUCCUUCUUCCAGGCGCCAGAGAGCAGAAACCUAGGGAAACACGAUCUCCAGGGAGCCACGGCACCCAUCCUGGCCUCCCAGGCACUGCACUGAGAUCUAGCCCAAUCCUGGCUGCAGACAGAGGAGGCAUGGCGCAGGGACAGCAGCUGCAUACCUUGCUACUUUCUGUCCCUGGCCACGCUGUCCUCGUUUGCACUCUCUCCAGCUACAAAGGGUGCACUGUCUUCAGUUACAAGCCGCCCACAAGAAGAUCCCAUGAGUGGAAUUUAUCAUCCGAUAAUCAUAUGGUCACCUUCCUUUUCUGGUACUAAUGCCCCAGUGACCCAUUUGCUUGUGGGGACAAUGAAACCUCACUACUCAGACUCCUUGCCUGGUUCCAGCCUCCUUUUCUCUGGAGUGUGAUGUCACCCCUUUAAUACUCAUCCAUGUCCAGUCCUGGAGGCCCAGAUUCUGGGUUCCCUUGCUGCUGUAAGUUCUGAAUAGCUACUGCUAUUUGCCAGUCUGACUUCCCUACUCACCCUAUGACUUGUCUUGACCUCAGUAUUUGUGUAUAAAAGCUUGAAGCGACUGGCCUACUAUUAACCUUCAGAACUAUGAACCUUGAUACAGUUCCCUAAUUCUAUCAACCUCAUAUUUAUCUUCCUGUGAGGCACAGCACAGUGUAACAGGAAUUGAAUAGAAAGAGUGCUUAGAGGAAUGCUACCGGUACAAAAUCAUAAUAUUGAAAAACAUUUCUUAAUAUACUGUAAGUUUUUAUUCAAUGUCAACCAGUUCUCUAUAAAGCUUUCACUUCACCUUCUAAUUUCCUUCUAACUCUGUGUUCACAGAGCAUCCUAGAUGUAAAGCUAAGUUGCAAACUUGAAUGCCUACAGGAAAAGACAGUUAAAGUGAGUCAGAUAUAAGAGACUGAAGGGACUGGUUGAGAAGCACAACUCUCAUGUAACUGUAUUUUAAAACAACAAAUACUACGUGAUGUGAGGCAAGCAAAAUUCACGUUCCAGUCUAGAUGUGGUCAGUAGACCUCUGGACCUUGGUAUGAUUUGAGGCAGGGAGAGAAACAAGUGCUUUAUGUGGACUCUACUAUUUAGGACAACACAUCUGUGCUAAAUCAUUCCAUAAAAAUAUGUUUGACAGAACACCAGAGAGAAGCCCAGGCAUAUGACAGGUAUGGGAGUGAAAUUAUACUUGAGAGGUACUAAACCUCUGCCCAAGUAAGACAUCAAUGGAAAAAAAUCAAUUAAAUCUAAACAGUAUAGUAGAUACUGUGAAAGGGAAAGAAACUGCUCAGAAGGAAAGAACUGGGAUGAGGAAAAGAGAAAAGAAGGAAAGAAGGGAAAAUAUAUGUUAUACACAGGAUAUAUGUGCAUACACAGGAUAUAUGCAUACACAAGAUAGCUAAGACAGUUGUACUACUGAUUUCUAUUGCUUUAUUGAAAGGAACGGUUAAUGUUUAAUUGUUUGAUCAAUCUUACAUGCCUAUAUUUGUUUAUCUGAGUAACCAAUUGGAAGAUAAUAAUACGUAAUACAACAACCAUUGUUAACUUGCUAUCACCUUGUCUGAAAUUCUAUAUUGCUUCUACUGUUUUUGUGUUGUUUUGUUUAUAUCUGUGUGUUUGUUAAUAUGUUUUCAUUCUUUUAUCUUUAAAAUAAGAAAAAAAACUAAAGUGACUAGUUUCAUUUAUACUGCUGCCUGUGGAGAACCCUACAAGGACUAAGAGGACACUCUUCAAUGGCAUGAUUCAUUUUGCUUUCACCAUCUCAAAGGGAAAAUCAUAUGGCAGAGAAUAAAAGUUUUAAAGGAAAACCCCCACAAACAUUCAAGAUUUUUUUUAUACAAGUCUAUUUUUUCAAAGCCAAGUACUUAAGUUCUUUUUCAUAAUUUUACCUUAUAAAAGGGAAUUAAACUGUGACCAGUUAUCAUUUACUAUUGAAUACAAGUUUUGGAUCAGGAAGUAUCAUCAUAGGUUGAUCUUAAGAUAUUUUUUUGUUUUUGCUUUAAACCAUUUAUUCAACUGUAAUGUCAUACAACGCCCUUACUUUAUUUUGAUACAUCUUUUCCCCACGAUGAUUCAGAGGAUCUUCAAGCCAAUAUAUAUAUUCAAUAAAUAUUUGGCCAUUUGGGUAUACUCCUGAACAAUACCUCACAUUAUUCAGAAAGAAAAACACUGAAGAGUAAAAAUGUGACACAACUAAGUAGGUACAAUGAUAAUCUGUUUCAAUCAUUUGUUUGUCUAAGGUAAGGGCACCACACAUCUGUUCAAUUAUGAAAGCCAUCCUUAAAACUCAGGAUGCUUUUUAGCACAAUUUCUAAUAGCUAAAGCUUGGAAACAACCCAAAUGCCCAACAACUGAGGAAUGGAUAAAAAAGAUGUGGUAUUUUAUAGAACAGAGUACUACUCAGCUAUAAAGAAGGAUAAACUCAAGGCUUUUAUAGCUAAAUGGAUGCAACUAGAGACCAUACUCAUAAGUGAAAUAAACGACUCGCAUGUGUAAACAUCAUAUUGUCUCCCUAGUGUAAGAAACUGGAAGAGUAAAGAAGAUCCAAAAUGUAUAACAGAUAUUGUGAAAGGGAAAGAAAUUGCUCAAAAGUAAAGAACAACUGGGAUGGGGGAAAGGAGAAAAGGAAGGGAAAAAAAUAUAUAUGUAUACAUAAGAUAGUUAAAAUAAUUGUACCACUAAUUUCUAUUAGUUCAUUGAAAGGAAC
Long non-coding RNA from Chinchilla lanigera (long-tailed chinchilla), 2776 nucleotides. NCBI's taxonomy places the organism in Eukaryota, Metazoa, Chordata, Mammalia, Rodentia, Chinchillidae. The record is from Ensembl.